Non-coding RNA from Schizosaccharomyces pombe (fission yeast), 354 nucleotides. The record is from the annotation of a GenBank genome assembly. Lineage: Eukaryota; Fungi; Ascomycota; Schizosaccharomycetes; Schizosaccharomycetales; Schizosaccharomycetaceae.
AUAUGGAGGUGGAGGCGGAAAAGCCGAAAACAGUUGUACUCCUUCGUUUGGUUCCAUUCUCUUUUAGUUAAAUAGUAUUUAUCGUAAACUAGAUUUUAGAUUGAUGUAACUGUCUUCCCUUUUAUCGCUGAUUCUUAGUAUAAAAAUGCCUGCUCUUUUUUUUUCUUUUUUUUUUUAGAAAAGCAGUUUCUAUAAUGUUAAGAAAACCGUAAUUGAACAACGAUAUGACGCUCAAUAACUGAUUGACAUGAAAAUCCUGAAUAUAAAAACACUUGAAAAUAACCGAUCUUUUGCUCAAAAUGGAUUUUGGAAUAGUCAGUAAAAGUGGGUAGUUUUAUCUGGCAUAUGGAAUAC